Molecule: ribosomal RNA, 253 nt
Filed under: uncultured bacterium
Lineage: Bacteria
Description: partial 16S ribosomal RNA
Rfam family: Bacterial small subunit ribosomal RNA
Source: RNAcentral
UACGAGGGGGGCGAGCGUUGUUCGGAAUUAUUGGGCGUAAAGGGUGCGUAGGCGGUUUGGUAAGUCUGAUGUGAAAUCUAUGGGCUCAACUCAUAGUCUGCAUCGGAAACUGCCGGGCUUGAGUGUGGGAGAGGUGAGUGGAAUUCCUGGUGUAGCGGUGAAAUGCGUAGAUAUCAGGAGGAACACCGGUGGCGAAGGCGGUUCUCUGGGCAUGUCCUGACGCUGAGGAGCGAAAGUGUGGGGAGCGAACAGG